AAGUGAGCCUUAUAAAAGCAAACCAACUAAAAAAACAAAAAUUAAAAUGGACUUAAAAAUACAUAUAGAUUGAAGAUAUCUUCAGUAAAAAAUGAAUCAACUUAUAAUUGACCUAUAAAUCAUCAAUAUACAUAAUGAGUUAUGAGUCUAACACUGUGGGUAUAUAAGAGUAAGACGGCAGACAAAACAUGUAGCACUUGUCCUAUAUAUCUUCAAAGGUUGAAUUCUCCGACAACGUAUUUUCAAACUCUUCUGGGGAAGAAUCGAUGUGCCAGAGAGAAAAUGACACUAACCGUACUUCUUCGAAGUGUUGAGAUCCGAUCACAUUUUAUUCUUCUUCUUCUUUUCCUAAUAAACAUUGCGUUAUCUUCUGUUCUAUAUCUUGCACAGACAGUGUCGAAAAUACCUGAAAUGAAAUUUAAUGUUCAAAAACACUAGAAUGUUAAAAUAGAAGAAUAGUAUGUAUUUUUGACUUGCGGUAUCAGCAAGGUAUUAAAAUAUAUAUACAAAAUGGUAUAGCAGAAAUAAUACACUUUGAAGCCAU
This 544-nucleotide long non-coding RNA is filed under the name Salvia miltiorrhiza (redroot sage). Its description in RNAcentral is "long non-coding RNA (SMIL_LNC008749)". The record is from RNAcentral. Lineage: Eukaryota; Viridiplantae; Streptophyta; Magnoliopsida; Lamiales; Lamiaceae.